Molecule: long non-coding RNA, 738 nt
Filed under: Ananas comosus (pineapple)
Lineage: Eukaryota; Viridiplantae; Streptophyta; Magnoliopsida; Poales; Bromeliaceae
Description: long non-coding RNA (ACOM_LNC024316)
Source: RNAcentral
AUAGACGUUUAUUGCAAGAAUUGGAGAUCAAUUUGGUGGAUUUUGCCGUAGUACAAAUUUAGGGCUCGAAAAUGGCGAUUUGAUUUACAGGAGGGUUUGAUCUCUUUUAACACUCUGUAAACCUAAUUGGUAGGUCUACGAACGCAACGGAAGCGACGGUUUGGCAAUCCGUCGAGCCGCUACAAAGAUAUUGAGGAUCGAAGCUGUUAAGGUACAGAUUGCCGCAGCUCGCGGCGAAAGCUUCCAAAAAUCACGGAAAUGGAAUCGUAGCAUCGUGGUGUCGAGGAAUAAACUCCAGAACAGACGGAUCGCGGAUAGGAGGUCAUUUGGUAGUCGCGCGUCAGUUGGGUCGAGCCGUGCGGCGUGCGCCGCAGGAGGCCGAUUGCGAGUGACGACGAGCAAUCGGAACGCUAUAAAAGGUGGGUGGUGUCCAUCCCGAAUCAAUCGGGCUCCCUUUUAUGUCUAAGUUUAUAUUGAUCAAAUUGCAUAUUGACAUCUUGCAUUAUAGGGUGAUAAAUGAUGGUUUGGUUCAAUACCUUGCAUGUUCUUUGGUAGAAUGAUGUAUUUGGCUUAGUACUUAUAUCUAGCAUGCUUGAGGUUUAUAUAUAUGAUGUGGAACCCUAUAAUGAGAUGAUAAGUGAGGAUGGGAAUUUAGUAAUGUAUUGGCUAUUGCAUUGGAAACUUGUAAAGAACGAGUGGCAUCUAGUUGAUAGUAAACAAAAGAACGAGUGACAUAUG